Molecule: long non-coding RNA, 2152 nt
Filed under: Panax ginseng (ginseng)
Lineage: Eukaryota; Viridiplantae; Streptophyta; Magnoliopsida; Apiales; Araliaceae
Description: long non-coding RNA (PGIN_LNC018848)
Source: RNAcentral
ACGGACAAGCAACGGACCAAAGGGAAAAAGGAGAAAAAGCACGCGGGUCACAAUUCCAAAAAAGGGGAAAAACAAACUGAAGCAAAAAAAACACGCGGGUCACAAAGACCCGGGUCGAAAAUCCAUAUGCAAUCACAAAACUUUCGCUUUCAGCAAGCAAAAAUUUGAACACUGCCGAUUCUUUGAUGGAGUCCCUUUACCCCGAUUCUGAGCAUUUCCCCUCUCACUCUUCCACAGAACCUGUUGCAAACCUGUUGAUUUGAAAGAAAUCUUGGGUUUGUAUAGUUAUUUUGUGGCUGUGCAAUUGGAUAGUUUGCAAACCGUAAGUUCAGUGAGACUCUCUCUCCUAAAGAAAUUCAUUUUUGUAGUGAUGCAUAAUAAAUAACCUGUAUAAAGAGGAGUUAUGAUUUGAAUGAUGCUAUAGAGUUCUUUAACCAGUUAUGGGUGGAAAAGCCUUUUCUCCCAUUUGCAAUUCCUUUGGUUUUAGUUUUUUGGUCAAUUAAGAAAUGAAUCUUUUCUCUCUCCAAUUGGGUUCCUCUUGCAGUGGCUGUUUGGGCUACUGUUCAGGUUACAUCUUGUGAUUUCCACCCUUUUCAAUUACUUGUGACCCUUUGAUUUGCAGAAUUUGGAGUUUAUUGUAAAUUAUUUGCCUUUUUUUUUUGUUUUUUAUUUAGUUUACUUUGAUGUAAUGUUUUGUAUGAAAGUCAAGAUUACUGCCGGCUUUAGAUGUAGAUCAUACUUAUUAGGCGCAUAGCAACAAUAAAUCUAUGCUCUCCUGCGGAACACAUGCCUAUAAGGUAUCCCUGGUCAGUCUUGUUUUGCAUCUUUGAUAAAUGAUAAAUGAUAAAUGAUAAAGAAAGCCAGUAAUGGUUUGGAUCAGGCAUUUCUUUUCUCUCUUUAUGUCUUUACGUAUAAAGAAAACCAGCACUGGUUUGAAGUAGGCUUUUCAUUUAUCAGUUUAUGUUUCUAUAUAUUUUCGUAAAUGUCUUCAUACCAAUUUGCCAAGGACUUGUGGUUUUAACCAACUGUUAAGGUUGGGAUCAAGUAAACUUUUUAUUUUCCAAAGAAUUUUCUUUCACUUGAAGUAUCCCUUCAGAAUGCAUCCGUGACCAACCUUGCUAUAGCUGUGCCUUUUAUUAUGUUGAUAUCUAAUCAUUUACUUUUUGACACGACAUUACUCAAUUUUGCGAGUCGUUGUGUAGGCAAACACAUUGGAGACUCAAUGUACUGCCAUGUGCGUUAGUGUGACAUAACUUGAUGCAUGAGGCUUGGGAAAAAUAAGCAGUUAAUAUUCGCUCACUUACUUAGUGUCAGCUCCUCUUUGUUGAGAACAUUUACCCUACGUUUCAAAUCUCAUAUUUGUGUGGGAUCUGUGUUCCUAUUUGGACAGACUUAUCCAUAAAUGGUGUUCUAAUAUUGCAGUCAUAUAAGUUUUAGAAAUUUUUUUAUAUCUAACAAGCUGACGUAAUUCAUUCAAAUAUACAAUUUGGAAUUAUUGUUGAUCGGUUUUAUGCCUGUCUGUUGAUAGAAAAUAUGUCAUCAAAUUCUUCUACUGCUACAUCCGUAUGGCCUCCGUUCAUAUGGCGUUGUGGUACGGGCCCUUGUAUAGUAAAACUUUCAAUGUUAGAAAAGAAUCCAGGUAUGUAUUUAUUUAUUGUAAUUUUUGUAUAUUUGUUUCUUUUACAUAAGUGAAUAAAUUUAUUGUGUCCCAAAAUAUGCAGCAAUGUGAUAACUUCAUCAGCUGUUGUGACGAAUAUGUUCGAGUGUUUCAUAAUCAAGGGAGGUUGCAAAUGGACACAUCUGAGCGUUUAAAUGUAACAACUCAUCCAACGAAUACUAACGAAUCCAAUGAAUUAGCGAUAGUGAAAAUUGAAAUGCAUCAAUUGCAACUAACUGUGCAAUUUGUUAUAAUUGUUAAUGUUAUGUACGCGGUGUCGUUGUUAAUGUUAUUAAAUCGGUUGUAAUUUUGAUAAUUUUCAUUAUCUAACCAACACGUUAUGUAUACAGUGUAUAAUUUCCUUAGUCUUCUCUUUGCCUUUUGCUCAUCCUUUCAACCCUUUUGUAUAAAGGAACUUGUGCAUUUAUAGGUAUCGAAUGGGAUUUCCUACUAUGUUGGUUUUACAAUAGUAGUAUUUUAUAAGUUGAAUUUUGG